Molecule: long non-coding RNA, 1539 nt
Filed under: Medicago truncatula (barrel medic)
Lineage: Eukaryota; Viridiplantae; Streptophyta; Magnoliopsida; Fabales; Fabaceae
Description: long non-coding RNA (MTRU_LNC003458)
Source: RNAcentral
CACAACACAACUUGAUCAAUAACAUUGUUCGACACAAACAUGGCUGCGAUUUAGCAGCAUUCCACAACAUAUCUGACACAAACAUAAUGAAAUAACAUGAGUGACUCGACUAGAAUCAUGAAAUAGCUAAAUACACACCUUCCUAAUGAAGAGCUGUAUACACACCUGGCUAAUAGCUUGAACCAAGAAUUUUGAUUUGUUGCAUUAACAAGCUCAGCGUCAAUUCUAAAGAUAUGGCCCAAUUCUCACAAUAAUUUUACUCGUAGACAUAUUCCAUACAAAAACAGAGAAAGCAAGUGAUUCCUGCAUAUAGAAAUUUAAAUUAGAAAGUAAUUUGGGGAUAAGAAGAUGCAGGGAAGAGAUAAAACUAGCAUACAUCUUCUUCCAGAUAAUUGUCUUGAGAAAUGCUUAGAAAUCAAAUAUGCAUGAAUCAACAGAGUUUAGUGCAUGCAUCAACAGCCAUCAAUAUUCUUUAAAAAUUAGCAAAUAACAUACCAAGACAAUUUUAGUACUAUGAAAUUCUGAACAAAAUUCUGACUCAAAGCCAUAGAAAGAUAAAUUCUCAACUAAAUUUGUCCUAAAGGAUCACCUAAAAUCUGUACCAACAAAUUAUACUUAUUAUGUAUGCAGGUCCACUCGUCAUGAACUAAGUUUGUAAUUAAAAAGUGUGGCUAGCAAUCAUUGAUGUAGUUAACGUAUUACAAAUAUUGCGUCAUCAAUGCUCUAAUCACAGUGCCGUAAAAAUAAAUCAAAAUGUUCAAAGAAUUAUAAAAGGGACAUAUACCUCUGGAAAACAUUGAAAAUCUCCUGUCAGGGAGAGAACUCUAUCAGGAACCAUUGCUGCUAUUUUACAAGCUAUCAUAGAUCAUGUUUCAAUAGGCAAACAAUAUUAAAAAUAAACUCAACCUAAUCAAAUCUUAGGAAAAACCAUCUGAAUUUUAACUAAAUCAAAACUCAAUAACACAAAAUAAUAACCGGUUGAGCGCCCAAAAACACGAGCCUUUUUCCAACCUAAAUGACCCAACAAAGUAAUUGUAUCUUUUGCCAUGAUCUUUGUAAAUUAUUCAAAUUAAUGUAGCACCAACACUUCAUAUUGAUGACAUGUCUGAUGUUUAGAUACUGAUAUAACACCAAACCAUAUAAUUUACAUUCAAAAACUUUCAUUUCUUCAAAAUAUUAUCAAACAAUAUAUCAUUCAAAUAAACAAUCUAAAGCAAAUAAAUACAAAAGACCAAUAAAAACCUUGAUGAUCAGACUUUCUAUUGUGUACAGAGCUCCGACCCACGCCCCAAUGAUCAAAAGCGAAAACCUCUACCACCACCGGACUCAUUGUCACAUCCUCCACUCCGAACGAUGUCAUCUUCAUCAUUAGGAACCUAUUAAUCCAUUUAUUUGUCGACCCCACCCUUGUGUGUCAAAGGAAAUCCUAACCAUUCAAUUCAAUCUCCACAAAAUCAGCAAAAUUUAAAAAAAUUUCAAAAAAUAAAAGUAAAAUUGAAUAAAAAUAAAGUGAAUUGAGGCAGAUAAGGGGAAAUAGAG